AUUGAACGCUGGCGGCAGGCCUAACACAUGCAAGUCGGACGGUAGCACAGAGGAGCUUGCUCCUUGGGUGACGAGUGGCGGACGGGUGAGUAAUGUCUGGGGAUCUGCCCGAUAGAGGGGGAUAACCACUGGAAACGGUGGCUAAUACCGCAUAACGUCGCAAGACCAAAGAGGGGGACCUUCGGGCCUCUCACUAUCGGAUGAACCCAGAUGGGAUUAGCUAGUAGGCGGGGUAAUGGCCCACCUAGGCGACGAUCCCUAGCUGGUCUGAGAGGAGGGCCUGCCACACUGGAACUGAGACACGGUCCAGACUCCUACGGGAGGCAGCAGUGGGGAAUAUUGCACAAUGGGCGCAAGCCUGAUGCAGCCAUGCCGCGUGUAUGAAGAAGGCCUUCGGGUUGUAAAGUACUUUCAGCGGGGAGGAAGGCGGUGAGGUUAAUAACCUCGCCGAUUGACGUUACCCGCAGAAGAAGCACCGGCUAACUCCGUGCCAGCCGCCGCCGUAA
This 506-nucleotide ribosomal RNA is filed under the name uncultured bacterium. Its description in RNAcentral is "partial 16S ribosomal RNA". It matches the Rfam family "Bacterial small subunit ribosomal RNA", at positions 29 to 523 of the family's 1533-position model. The record is from RNAcentral.